RNAcentral lists this microRNA precursor (186 nucleotides) under Oryza rufipogon (brownbeard rice). Its description in RNAcentral is "MIR812 microRNA precursor family". It matches the Rfam family "MIR812 microRNA precursor family". The record is from Rfam by way of RNAcentral. Lineage: Eukaryota; Viridiplantae; Streptophyta; Magnoliopsida; Poales; Poaceae.
UUUAUGUAUAGUUUUUAUUCUGUGUUCAACGUUUAACUUUUCGUCUUAUUUUACUUUUUUCUUAAUUAUUAGAUGAUAAAAUAUGAAUAGUGUUUUAUGUGUGACUUAUUUUCUAAAAAAAUAUUAAUUUCUUAAAUAAGACGGACGGUCAAAUGUUAGACGCAUAGACUGAAAACUGCACUUAAA